This 3124-nucleotide ribosomal RNA is filed under the name Streptoalloteichus hindustanus. RNAcentral's name for it is "bacterial LSU rRNA". It matches the Rfam family "Bacterial large subunit ribosomal RNA". Lineage: Bacteria; Bacillati; Actinomycetota; Actinomycetes; Pseudonocardiales; Pseudonocardiaceae. The record is from RNAcentral.
GUGGCCAAGUUAGUAAGGGCGCACGGUGGAUGCCUUGGCACCAGGAGCCGAUGAAGGACGUGGGAGGCCGCGAUAGGCCUCGGGGAGCUGCCAACCGAGCUGUGAUCCGAGGGUGUCCGAAUGGGGAAACCCGGCCCCAGUCAUGUGGGGUCACCCGCACCUGAAUGUAUAGGGUGUGUGGAGGGAACGCGGGGAAGUGAAACAUCUCAGUACCCGCAGGAGGAGAAAACAACCGUGAUUCCGUGAGUAGUGGCGAGCGAAAGCGGAUGAGGCUAAACCAUGCAUGUGUGAUACCUGGCAGGGGUUGCGUGUGUGGGGUUGUGGGACCCGUCGGUCAGGUCUGCCAGCCUGGCGGGGAGUCAGAAAGUGGUGUGCUAGUCGAAUACGUCUGGAAAGCGUGACCGGAGUGGGUGAGAGUCCCGUAGACGAAAGUGCACUGCCUCCCGAUGGGGUUCCCAAGUAGCAGCGAGCUCGUGGAAUUUGCUGUGAAUCUGGCGGGACCACCCGCUAAGCCUAAAUACUCCCUGGUGACCGAUAGCGGACGAGUACCGUGAGGGAAAGGUGAAAAGUACCCCGGGAGGGGAGUGAAAGAGUACCUGAAACCGUGUGCCUACAAUCCGUCAGAGCCUUCGGGUGAUGGCGUGCCUUUUGAAGAAUGAGCCUGCGAGUUAGUGGUGCGUGGCGAGGUUAACCCGUGUGGGGUAGCCGUAGCGAAAGCGAGUCUGAAUAGGGCGUUUGAGUCGCGUGCUCUAGACCCGAAGCGGGGUGAUCUACCCAUGGCCAGGGUGAAGCGCCGGUAAGACGGCGUGGAGGCCCGAACCCACCAGGGUUGAAAACCUGGGGGAUGAGCUGUGGGUAGGGGUGAAAGGCCAAUCAAACUCCGUGAUAGCUGGUUCUCCCCGAAAUGCAUUUAGGUGCAGCGUCGUGUGUUUCACCCUGGAGGUAGAGCACUGGAUGGCCUAGGGGGCCUACAAGCUUACCGAAGUCAGCCAAACUCCGAAUGCCGGGGUGUGAGAGCGCGGCAGUGAGACUGCGGGGGAUAAGCUUCGUAGUCGAGAGGGAAACAGCCCAGAUCACCGGCUAAGGCCCCUAAGUGUGCGCUAAGUGGGAAAGGAUGUGGGGUCGCUGAGACAACCAGGAGGUUGGCUUAGAAGCAGCCACCCUUUAAAGAGUGCGUAAUAGCUCACUGGUCAAGUGGUUCCGCGCCGACAAUGUAGCGGGGCUUAAGCGUACCGCCGAAGCCGUGGCACUCACACAGUUGAUCCGCCUCUGACUUUGUGUUGGGGGUGCAGUCGUGUGGGUGGGUAGGGGAGCGUCGUGUCACCGUGGAAGCAGCCGUGUAAGCGAGUUGUGGAGGUGACGCGAGUGAGAAUGCAGGCAUGAGUAGCGAAUGCAGAGUGAGAAACUCUGCCGCCGGAUGACCAAGGGUUCCUGGGCUAGGCUAAUCCGCCCAGGGUAAGCCGGGACCUAAGGCGAGGCCGACAGGCGUAGUCGAUGGAUAACGGGUUGAUAUUCCCGUGCCCGUGUGGAUGCGCCCAUGGCGAGGCUGGUGAUGCUAACCGCCCGAUCCGCAUGAUGCCUUUCGGGGUGUUGUGUUGGGGAGCGCGGGAACCGAAUCAGUAGUAGUCAAGCGAUGGGGUGACGCAGGAGGGUAGCUCCGCCAGUGAGUGGUUGUACUGGUGUAAGGGUGUAGCCAGUUGGGGUAGGCAAAUCCGUCCCAAUGUUAAUGGUGAGACCUGAUGCAUAGCCGAUUGAGGCGAAGUAGGGUGAUCCCAUGCUGCCGAGAAAAGCCUCUAGUGAGUGUCCAUGCGGCCCGUACCCGAAACCGACACAGGUGGUCAGGUAGAGAAUACCAAGGCGAUCGGGUGAACUGUGGUUAAGGAACUCGGCAAAAUGCCCCCGUAACUUCGGGAGAAGGGGGGCCGGGUGGUUUGAAGCCCCUUGCGGGCUAGGGCUGUCUGGCCGCAGAGACCAGGGAGAAGCGACUGUUUACUAAAAACACAGGUCCGUGCGAAGUCGUAAGACGAUGUAUACGGACUGACGCCUGCCCGGUGCUGGAACGUUAAGGGGACGGGUUAGUGGCCCUUUUGGGGUUGCGAAGCUCAGAACUUAAGCGCCAGUAAACGGCGGUGGUAACUAUAACCAUCCUAAGGUAGCGAAAUUCCUUGUCGGGUAAGUUCCGACCUGCACGAAUGGCGUAACGACUUCUCCGCUGUCUCAACCACAGGCCCGGCGAAAUUGCAUUACGAGUAAAGAUGCUCGUUACGCGCGGCAGGACGGAAAGACCCCGGGACCUUUACUAUAGCUUGGUAUUGGUGCUUGGUUCGGCUUGUGUAGGAUAGGUGGGAGACUGUGAAGCCUGGACGCUAGUUCGGGUGGAGUCGUUGUUGAAAUACCACUCUGGUCGUACUGGGUGUCUAACCUCGGACCGUGAUCCGGUUCAGGGACAGUGCCUGGUGGGUAGUUUAACUGGGGCGGUUGCCUCCCAAAGGGUAACGGAGGCGCCCAAAGGUUCCCUCAGCCUGGUUGGCAAUCAGGUGUUGAGUGUAAGUGCACAAGGGAGCUUGACUGUGAGACCGACGGGUCGAGCAGGGACGAAAGUCGGGACUAGUGAUCCGGCACUGGCUGGUGGAAGCGGUGUCGCUCAACGGAUAAAAGGUACCCCGGGGAUAACAGGCUGAUCUUGCCCAAGAGUCCAUAUCGACGGCAUGGUUUGGCACCUCGAUGUCGGCUCGUCGCAUCCUGGGGCUGGAGUAGGUCCCAAGGGUUGGGCUGUUCGCCCAUUAAAGCGGUACGCGAGCUGGGUUUAGAACGUCGUGAGACAGUUCGGUCCCUAUCCGCCGCGCGCGUAGGAGGCUUGAGGAAGGCUGUCCCUAGUACGAGAGGACCGGGACGGACGAACCUCUGGUGUGCCAGUUGUUCCGCCAGGGGCAUGGCUGGUUGGCUACGUUCGGAAGGGAUAACCGCUGAAAGCAUCUAAGCGGGAAGCUCGUUCCUAGAUGAGGUCUCCCUCCCACUUUGUUGGGGUAAGGCUCCCAGUAGAUGACUGGGUUGAUAGGCCGGAGAUGGAAGCUCUGUGAGGGGUGGAGUUGACCGGUACUAAUAGGCCGAGUGGCUUGUCCAU